AUGGAUAGAAAAGUAUCUGAUACAUAUGUAAGUUUUGAAACUUUUCCAAAACAAAGUAGUAGCUACCAAGAUUUUUUUGAUUGGAUACUUAAAUAUCCAAUUUUUAAUGAUAUUAGGCCAAUCAAUUUGUCAAAUCGAUUGAUCAAUAUAUACCGUAAUGAGGAUAAUAAACAGAAAGAAAGAGUGGAAAAAGCAGUAGUAAAAAAAAACAAACCAAUUAAAAAAAAACCAAACGAUGGUGCAAAAAUAUCCAAUAACUUACCUACAAAAUUUUUUAAAAAUGAAAUAAAUAAAAAUGGUAAAACAAAAGUAGAAAAAAAAAAUGAUAUACUAUAUUGUGUGUGUUUGUAUGUAAGUUUAUAUAUUAACCGCGCAUACCUUAGUUUUGUCCACAUAUAUGUACAUGUAUAUGUACAUAUAUAUAUGUUUACAUAUAUAUGUCUAUAUAUAUAUGUCUACAUAUAUAUAUAUAUAUAUAUAUAUUAUAUGUGUGAACGCUUUUAUUAUUUUCAGAUUAUAGUUCAAUAUGUAACUCCAAAUUUUACGUAAAUAUAAUUAAAAAGAGUGAAACUAUUUGUAAUACUUAUAAUGAAAGUUUGAAAGAAGAAAGAAUAAAUAAAUUAAUACUCAAAAGAGUUCA
RNAcentral lists this long non-coding RNA (640 nucleotides) under Piliocolobus tephrosceles (Ugandan red Colobus). Its description in RNAcentral is "lncRNA (ENSPTEG00000026583.1)". The record is from RNAcentral. Lineage: Eukaryota; Metazoa; Chordata; Mammalia; Primates; Cercopithecidae.